UUUUUUUUUAUUUUCCACAUCAGGUUGACAUAGCAGACCUAUAAGUCAGAAACUUUACGUAUUCUUUAUAGCACAUAUUUUAGAGGGACACUUGGCAUAUAUUUUCAUGAUGCUUUAUUUUGGGCUUUACAGGCCUUUUGAACUGUUCAAUACAGCUCUAAUGCUACAGCAGUCGGGUUCCUUUAUUUCUCCUUAUUGCCUUUUAAAAUGCUUUGUUACCUUUUUGAUAGCCCAUUCAUGCCAUGGGGGGUUAAACAAAAUGUGCGGUGGAACUUAUCCUGGUCUGAAGUUGUAGGGAAGUAUGAGUGUGGCACCAGAAGGAAGAGAGUAUUGUCUGCCUACUUGUGUGGGCAGUAUAUCUUUAGGUGACUGUGGUUUUGAAGAAGAGGAACACUUGUGGAUCAUGGUUGACCCUUGACCAUUUAAUGUUUAUUGGGCUGAAAGUCACAGGCUGCUUGUGACAGGUGGUACCAAUGCGAGAGGAAGGGUUUAAAGGAAAUGGGCCCAUCCUGCCUUCCCCUCUUUGAGUGCAUGGUUUAAGAUUAACCAUCUCCAUUGUGCAUCCUGGCUGAAGGACUCUUCAGUGGUAUGCUUCGAGCUUCCAAUACCCUUUUUUUUUUUUUUUUUUUUUUUUUGAAGAUUGCCUUCCUAUCUGCCCACCAGUUCUAGGAUCUUUAACCGCCUCAUGCCCAGGCAGUGUGAAUUAGCCGAGUCUUGUUUGAUAGGAGGAAGAUGUUUGAUUGGAAGUCUUGAAGCAAACCCUCCCUUAGACCAAAGACCCCUAAAGCAGCAGGAGGGUGAGGGGAAAUAUGGAGUCUAAACCCCUCGUCACCUAUCUAUCAUAAAUUUUAAUUGUAAUAUUGGAAGAUACAGGAAACUAUAUAAGACCAUGCUGGUAGGAUAUAAUGAACCCAGGUAAUUUGGGAAUAACAUUUGGCUGUAUUUGAUAUAUCCAGGUGCCCUAACUUAACAGCUUGGUUCUCCAGCAAAGAACAUGCUUCUCUAAACUGGCCGUCUCACUUGAGACAAACUCUGCCUGCCAGAAACUACCAUUUGAGGCAAGUGAGUUUUCUGCAUGAAGAGCUUCUGCAGCUCCCCUUCACGAGGCAAGUCUACCUGUUUGUCCAUUUUUAUUAGGAACAUCAGAUCUGCAUCUCUGAAGGCUUUGACCCUUAAGAUGGUCAGUAAGAACCUCUCAGCUGAGUCUGAGUGAAUCUUUGGAGCCCAACAGAGUUACACUUAAUUUUCCGCAAGAGAAAAAUGUGUUGGAUAAGCUCACAUGUGAGGUAUUAAGAGAAAUUCCAUAUUGUGCUGCUUCUGACUCUGCCUCAUGGGUUGAGUAAGGCCUCGGUGGAGUUUGGUUCAAAGGUGUUGAGUGUCUGCUUCCUCAGCCAAGGUGUCUCACUGCCCUUUUAGGGAAAACACCAUGAACAGCCAGAACUGUGUCAAUCAAGUCUAUUUUCUGUUUUUCAGCAUCUUGUUUUGAAGAAUUGGGGUGGGAAAAUGGUAGAUGAGAUUCAAAGUAAAGGAAAGAAUCAGUUCUAGAACUGGGGCACUUUGCUUCAGGUACAGGCAUCUGUCCCAAAUAUGUAGCAACACCUCCCUCACAUAUGUGAGUAGGUUCACUUUUCCUCUCCAUCCAGUGAACUCCACGCCUUCCUCACUGCAAGGAGGGCUUCUGCCUACCAGGCACCUACCCAGAGUCACCCAGAUGGGGAUUGGCAUCCCUCACAGAACCACCAGUGCUUCUGGGCAUGGCUUUCACCAGGGCAAGGGCUGGAAGGCAGUAAAUGAGAAUCCCUACCCCAUGAAGAGAUGGGACAAGAGAGGUGUCCAGACACAUACCCUUUCUCUUCUGCCAUACCCAAAGAACCCAGGGAAAUCUUUGAAGCGAUGACUUUUUUAUUAAAGUAGAAGAAAUCUUUGCCCCACUAAGUUUUGCUUGUCACUAUUGCUUACUACUAACUUUCACUAAUUCAAAUCUGUGUCACACUGCUGCUCACACAUAUACAUGUGUUUCUUACCUUAGCCUAACCCUUCUCAGCCCCUGGAGUCAUUACUUCUGUUUUGUUUUUCUUUCUUUUCUUUUUUUUUCUCUUUUCCUUUUUUCUUUUUUUAAUGGCACUAGUAAAUGACAACCGAAAGUCUUAGGAAAUCCUAACCUGAAAAGGAGUCUUUAACUGGCAUGGUUUGAUUAAUACUUUACCUGCCCACCCCCUCUCCCCCUACACCCCCAAAGACUUGAAUGAUUUUCUUUCCUAGUGCUAUAUGAUAGACCUGUAAAAAGUGAAACCUUUGCUGCUGCUUUUCUGGGUUUACAUAUUUUUUUCCUGCCCUUAAUAAUUUCUUACCUGUGCUUCUCUGAUGACUGUUACUUUCUAAUAAGUGCAGGAGGAGGUGAGCCUGAGAUUGUUUCUCUGACUCCCCUCCUCACCCUACCCCCAAACUACAUGCUAACCUCUAACACACACAAGACCAGGAGCCGGGACUCAGCAGAAGCUGUGUGGGUGUUUUCUCAUAUGCUGCCACCGUUGCUGUGGGAGCUGGCCCCUGAGGGCCUGUGACUUCCCAGGACGAAGGGUUCCAAGCUACUGUUGGUAGGGGAGAAAAAGGCCUUCUGCAUCUGCCUUUCUCCGUUCCUGUUUAAUGACUCAGCCUUUAGCCUCCUCCCACCCUAGCUGCCUCCUUUUUCCUAUCUGGAACUGUUUCCAGGUCACCUGCCUAGUGCAGUUCCUGGCCGCUCUCUCCAGCCUUGCCCACCUUCUGGUGACACUGAGAGCACAGACCUGUGCAGAGUUCAGACAGCAGGGAGGACAACCUCUGCCCAUUGGACUCUGCCUGAGGACGCAGAUGGGUGGGCAAAUGGUGCUGGGAGAGAAAUUCUUACCUUCAAACCAGGCUGUUUCAUCCCUGCACUGACCCCCUCUGACGCCUCUUCCCCUGAGGGGACAGAAGGCAGAGGAUGGUUGAAUGGCAGGGUCUGAUCCCAGACUUGCUGUGGCCUAAGCCUCCUUCAGCUCUGCUUUGGAGUGCUUCAGUGCGUGAGAACUGCUGCUUGCUUGUUUCUCCACUAGGCCUGCACCAGCACUCAGCUGGUCCCUGCGGCUGACACACAGUCCCCGACUUGGUGACUGAACACCAGGCUCCAUUAGCUGUCCAAGUGACUGCUUCCACCCGAUACUUUUGGCGCUUGAGGAUGGGGGGGAGGGAGGGUUAUUUAAAAUCCAAGGUGGCAGUAGAGGAUUCCUUUUGCUUUAAAAUCUUUGGACUAAAAGAAAAAUGUUUUUUAUAUAUAAAUAUAUAAAGUAAAUUGUUAUGUAACUAUUACUGUUUCCUGUAUGUUCUAAUUUUGUUUAUGAUGUAAUUAAAGGAAAUAAGCUG
This 3381-nucleotide long non-coding RNA is filed under the name Canis lupus familiaris (dog). Its description in RNAcentral is "lncRNA (ENSCAFG00845013210.1)". The record is from RNAcentral. Lineage: Eukaryota; Metazoa; Chordata; Mammalia; Carnivora; Canidae.